GGGGGUAUAGUUCAGCGGCAGAAUUUUCGUCUCCAAAACGAAAGACCUAGGUUCGAGUCCUAGUACCCCCGCAA
RNAcentral lists this transfer RNA (74 nucleotides) under Candidatus Ryanbacteria bacterium RIFCSPLOWO2_02_FULL_45_11c. RNAcentral's name for it is "tRNA-Trp". It matches the Rfam family "tRNA". Rfam says of the family: Transfer RNA (tRNA) molecules are approximately 80 nucleotides in length. Their secondary structure includes four short double-helical elements and three loops (D, anti-codon, and T loops). The record is from RNAcentral. Lineage: Bacteria; Candidatus Ryaniibacteriota.